Triticum aestivum (bread wheat) is the source of this 136-nucleotide non-coding RNA. Lineage: Eukaryota; Viridiplantae; Streptophyta; Magnoliopsida; Poales; Poaceae. The record is from Rfam.
AUUCUACUCCCUCCGUUGCACAAUACAUGCCUUCUAUUUGUCAAAAUAUAUAUGUAUCUAGACAUGUCUUAGUAUAUAGGUACAUCCAUUUUUGGACAAAUGGAAGUCAAAUAUUUUGGAACGAAGGGAGUACACA